GUGGGAGGGAGAAACUCUCAAAUUUCUUUUUUUUUUUUUUUUUUUUUGCUUUUAAAAUUGUAACAUAGUUGACAGAUUUUUUUUUUUUUUUUUUUUUUUCUUUUUUCCUGUUCUCAUUGAUCGGAGCAUCUUGUACAGGUUUUUUUGGUGUUUGUGCCUGCCGGUGUGAGUUCCUCUGUUUUUUGAUACAUUCCUAUCCCUUGUGUUUAUCCUACCAUUGCCUUCCUGGCUAUCUUAAAACAAGUUCAUGCGUUUGAAAAGAGAAAAAAAAAAAAUGUUGUUUUAAACAAUGUUUUCUCCUGCUGCAGUAAAUAUUUUGCAUGAUGAAAUUCCAGGGUCACACUUUCAAAGUUUAUCAGUGAAGUAGUGAUUAAUCUUGGGGAGUGUCAAAGCUAUUGAACUUUUUGUAUAAAAACAAGAAAAAAAGAAAGAAAACUUUACAAGGUGCCAAGAUGUACAGACAAUUCGUUGCUUUUUUUUUUUUUCCCCAAAGAAAAGCGUACCUUAGGGAGAACGGUCCCUUGUACCGGGCAAAUGCACUGUCAGGAAUGAGGAUCCAUCCUACUUGUUGUCCCUAGAGUCUGUCCUUGUAAGACAAGUUAACGCUGCCUGCAUUGAACCAGCAGUGAAAGGAAACAUCAAGGCUUAUGAACGGGAAGAGUGACCGCCAGCCCUGCCACCUUCGGACGGCUCUGACCUGAUUACCCGCGUUCCGUCAGACCUAGUAAAGACACCUCGGAUUCUUCACCCAAAAUAGGAUGUCCAUCACUAGCUAUUUUAUCCCGGAAAAAAAAAAAAAAAGUUAAAGAUUUCCUCUCCUUUCCGCAUUCCAGCUUGAGCUCCGUUUCCAAGGGUACCAAGAAGAACAUGCUUGUCGGGAUUUUGAAUCUUUGGGGGACCUUUUGGUUCAUGGUAGACCCUCUGGAUAUUUUGGAUGUUUCUGAGAGUCGGUUUUGGCUUUUCUCUCCUGAGAAAUGAGACUUAGAAUUCCAAAGGCAUUUUGUGGGCCCGGUGUAGUUCUCAUGAUCUCUGCUACCCAGAAGCCUGCAUGGAGAUGGUACAGCCCGGACUGUCAGCGUGGUGCUCCGUGGAGAUGUGCUGCCAGUAACAAGAAUUUUUUUUUUUUUUAAUUUCGUUUUGUUUUGAUAAGGCAUAAAAGGAACUCAUUCCGUGACAUCAACUGUAAUUCCAUCAUUCUGUGUCUGUGGAUACAGACAAUAAAAAAAAAAAAAAAAUGUUGUGUAGUCAGUACUAAUGACUGACAUGAUCGCAUUCUCAAAUGCAAUAAAAAUGCUGGUUGUUCACACUGGU
This 1311-nucleotide long non-coding RNA is filed under the name Phocoena sinus (vaquita). RNAcentral describes it as "lncRNA (ENSPSNG00000011209.1)". Lineage: Eukaryota; Metazoa; Chordata; Mammalia; Artiodactyla; Phocoenidae. The record is from RNAcentral.